Molecule: ribosomal RNA, 445 nt
Filed under: Bacillus cereus
Lineage: Bacteria; Bacillati; Bacillota; Bacilli; Caryophanales; Bacillaceae
Description: bacterial SSU rRNA
Rfam family: Bacterial small subunit ribosomal RNA
Source: RNAcentral
UUUAUUGGAGAGUUUGAUCCUGGCUCAGGAUGAACGCUGGCGGCGUGCCUAAUACAUGCAAGUCGAGCGAAUGGAUUAAGAGCUUGCUCUUAUGAAGUUAGCGGCGGACGGGUGAGUAACACGUGGGUAACCUGCCCAUAAGACUGGGAUAACUCCGGGAAACCGRGGCUAAUACCGGAUAACAUUUUGAACUGCAUGGUUCGAAAUUGAAAGGCGGCUUCGGCUGUCACUUAUGGAUGGACCCGCGUCGCAUUAGCUAGUUGGUGAGGUAACGGCUCACCAAGGCAACGAUGCGUAGCCGACCUGAGAGGGUGAUCGGCCACACUGGGACUGAGACACGGCCCAGACUCCUACGGGAGGCAGCAGUAGGGAAUCUUCCGCAAUGGACGAAAGUCUGACGGAGCAACGCCGCGUGAGUGAUGAAGGCUUUCGGGUCGUAAAACUC